UGUCCUCAACCCUGAUGAAUUAUCUUGCUGGGAUAUCAUCUCAGACUUUUGGACAAAUCUCUUUAACAAACAGACCAGGGGAAAGUUCAGCGUAGACAAUAAGAAACCUUAACCAUUCUCCAACUCUUCCCUGUGGACACGCCCCCUCCCUGCAGGAGAAGGAUGAUGGGCGUGCUCAUUCUAACGUUCUGUCUGCUGGGAGCAGCUUUGACUAGUUCUGUCCCUCAGUAUGAUGUCACGGAUGAGCUACCCCCACAGAGAGAGAUGGUUCCUCAGGUGUCUCAGAUGGACAUUCUGGAUCAGAUGAUCCCUCCACAACUCAACCCUCAGGUCCCUGUACUAUCACAGUUGCCAGGGAACCAGGUAGACCACACCCCCUCCUGGAACUCCUCCUCCUUACCUCAACAGGUCUCUGACCUACCGCAGUUGCCAGGG
This is a long non-coding RNA of Oncorhynchus masou masou (cherry salmon), 435 nucleotides long. RefSeq lists it as uncharacterized. NCBI's taxonomy places the organism in Eukaryota, Metazoa, Chordata, Actinopteri, Salmoniformes, Salmonidae. The transcript has 5 exons. The record is from RefSeq and is a predicted model, not a curated record.